Molecule: non-coding RNA, 35 nt
Filed under: unclassified sequences
Description: DUF805b RNA
Rfam family: DUF805b RNA
About the family: Bacteroidetes, Chlorobi (1 example), Proteobacteria. Lineage (Flavobacteria)
Source: RNAcentral
ACGGAGGAAGCCGAAAAGCCAAAAAAGAGUAGGUA